AGUAGUUUGAUCAGUGGCUCGAGGACGAACGCUGGCGGCGUGCCUAACACAUGCAAGUCGAACGGGGGUUUUGCUUCGGUAGAACCCUAGUGGCGAACGGGUGAGUAACGCGUAGGCAACCUGCCCUUCAGACGGGGACAACAUCCCGAAAGGGGUGCUAAUACCGGAUACGAAGGAGCCAUCGCAUGGUGGCUCCUUGAAAGAUGGCCUCUAUUUAUAAGCUAUCGCUGAAGGAUGGGCCUGCGUCCGAUUAGCUGGUUGGUGUAGUAAAGGUGCACCAAGCCGACGAUCGGUAGCCGGUCUGAGAGGAUGAACGGCCACAAUGGAACUGAGACACGGUCCAUACUCC
This 349-nucleotide ribosomal RNA is filed under the name uncultured Veillonellaceae bacterium. RNAcentral's name for it is "bacterial SSU rRNA". It matches the Rfam family "Bacterial small subunit ribosomal RNA", at positions 9 to 339 of the family's 1533-position model. Lineage: Bacteria; Bacillati; Bacillota; Negativicutes; Veillonellales; Veillonellaceae. The record is from RNAcentral.